GCCACCUUGGCUCAGGGGUAGAGCGGCUCACUCGUAAUGAGCGGGUCGUCGGUUCGAAUCCGACAGGUGGCUCCA
This is a transfer RNA of 75 nucleotides. It matches the Rfam family "tRNA". Rfam says of the family: Transfer RNA (tRNA) molecules are approximately 80 nucleotides in length. Their secondary structure includes four short double-helical elements and three loops (D, anti-codon, and T loops).